CCUACGGGUGGCAGCAGUGGGGAAUAUUGCGCAAUGGGCGAAAGCCUGACGCAGCGACGCCGCGUGCGGGAUGAAGGUCUUCGGAUCGUAAACCUCUGUCAGCAGGGAAGAACGGUCACUGUGCUAAUCAGCAGUGAAUUGACGGUACCUGCAAAGGAAGCACCGGCUAACUCCGUGACAGAAGCCGCGGUAAUACGGAGGGUGCGAGCGUUAAUCGGAAUUACUGGGCGUAAAGGGCGCGUAGGCGGUAUGUCAAGUCAAGGGUGAAAUCCCCGGGCUCAACGUGGGAACUGCCUUUGAAACUGGCAGACUGGAGUGUGUGAGAGGAUAGUGGAAUGCCAGGUGUAGGAGUGAAAUGCGUAGAUAUCUGGCGGAACAUCAGUGGCGAAGGCGACUAUCUGGAACAUAACUGACGCUGAGGAGCGAAAGCGUGGGUAGCAAACAGGAUUAGAUACCCGUGUAGUC
RNAcentral lists this ribosomal RNA (465 nucleotides) under uncultured bacterium. Its description in RNAcentral is "partial 16S ribosomal RNA". It matches the Rfam family "Bacterial small subunit ribosomal RNA", at positions 338 to 795 of the family's 1533-position model. The record is from RNAcentral.